GAUCCCUAAUACUCCCCUUUAUAUUGUUCGUCUGGUCUCAAGGCGCCUAACAUGGUCUGUUUCUCUCCUGAUAAAGGAGAAGUCUGCCUUUCUUUCGUGUCAGAUGCACAGACACACACGUGGAGAACAAACAGAUGGCACAACGAUAACAAGGAAGAAUGAGUGAGUGGAUGAGUGGAAAUCUGCCCGUCCCCCAACACUGAAGAGUCUAUUGUACAGGGUCCAGCAAAGGUUUGCUAAACCUCUAUCAAGCAGCAGAGGAGAGCAUCCUCUCCUUUGCGAUAACAGUCUGGUUUGGGAAUAUGUCUGCAGAGGAGGAGAGGCAGCUGAACAAAGUGGUGUGUACUGUACCAAAAACCACCAGGUCGUCCUCGAUGGGGUUCUCUUUCCUCCUCCCCGUGCUGUACAUACUGGCCGGUCUCUUGAUGGCCUUCUGCUUGAUGUGACCACUUCCUGGAGACUUCAGCCUCUUCUUCAUGCCGUCACAACUGGGCGACACGUCUAUGGACUUGGUGGCCUUGAUUUUAAAUGGGCUUCCUUUGAUGUGUUGGUCAUACAGCCGCAGAGACAAAUUAAAAGUCCCCUCUUUAGGAGCUGUGAAUAGAUACUCAUAAGUCCCAUUCUUGUUGUCCAGGAUCUCUCCUUCACCUUUGCUGCCGUCAGGUGAGGAGAUCUCAGCCCUGAUGACUGCGUUUCCCAUCUUGCAAAGCUCUCUGUCUUUGUCCUUUGUGGUUAUGGUGAUGGAAGUGGGCACACCAACCACACAGUGGCGCAGCCCCUCGCCUGUAGCCACGGUCUCAGAGGCCACCGCGUUGGUUGUCACGAUAGUUCCCAGGUUGUGGAUGGACUUUUUGAGUCCUUCUGUCUCCACGAUGAAGUCCAGCUGGUCGUUCUCUCCGGGCUGCAGAGGAAGCUCCUGACUGGCGAGUUCGAUGAGACGCUCACUCAUCUGCUUCUUCACCAGCAGCACCUCGGCCUCAGUCCCAUGGCUCAGUGCCUGCUCCGUGAAGUUACAGCUGCUGAUGAUGCCAUCCUGACCGUGCAGGAGGGUGUCAAGCUGGGCCUGGAGCACCUAUAAACACAAACAGCAGAGGGCAGCAGAGUCACUCUGUGAAAUUGGAUGUAGCCUCUUGGGUUUAAAGUAAAGCCAGUGUAAAAGUGCCUUAUGACCACCAGGGGCGGUCAUCUUGUAGAAAAAAAAUAUGUCUCAGUAUAUCAAACCAGAUGGGGAAGCUAUUCUAG
Molecule: long non-coding RNA, 1242 nt
Organism: Notolabrus celidotus (New Zealand spotty)
Lineage: Eukaryota; Metazoa; Chordata; Actinopteri; Labriformes; Labridae
Exons: 4
Source: RefSeq, a predicted model, not a curated record